AGUGAACGCUGGCGGCAUGCCUAACACAUGCAAGUCGAACGGCAGCACAGGAGAGCUUGCUCUCUGGGUGGCGAGUGGCGGACGGGUGAGGAAUACAUCGGAAUCUACUUUUUCGUGGGGGAUAACGUAGGGAAACUUACGCUAAUACCGCAUACGACCUACGGGUGAAAGUAGGGGAUCGCAAGACCUUACGCGAUUAG
This 200-nucleotide ribosomal RNA is filed under the name uncultured bacterium. RNAcentral describes it as "partial 16S ribosomal RNA". It matches the Rfam family "Bacterial small subunit ribosomal RNA", at positions 29 to 224 of the family's 1533-position model. The record is from RNAcentral.